CGUUUCGCGGAUUUCGUACGUACAAUACACGGGAAUCCAAUACAAAUUUUGUGUGUAGAUUUCCUAUGCAGACAACGUAAACAAUCUUCACUACGAAAAGAUACAUGGACUUGGCAGCGAGAUUUCUUUGAAAAAGACUUGUUCUGUUGAUAUUUUUACAACUCUAACGUUUGGUGAAGGACAGGAAAACUCACGAAAAUGCCGGGUGUCGGCAAAACAAACAGCAACACUCCGAUUACGGAGCAAAUAUCAGAAUUGCAGCGUAAAAUCUCCUUGUUAGAUGGUGACAGGAAAGCAUAUUACGAGAGUUCCCAGUGGACCAUAAAGCAGAACCUCGAGGUCAUCCGUAAGUUGCGACAGGAGAACAAGACCCUACACAAGCGGCUAGCAGCAAGCAAGGCGGGAGAUGACCGGGUACUGGAUAUUGCCUUCAAGUCUCGAGAGGUGGAGCGCGCUUCACUCAGAGGCAAAUCUGGACGGGAAGCAAUCCGUAUUAUGGACCAGAAGGCGUGUGAGGCCAAGAAAAAACUCAACGCUGAGAAGGCCCAGACCCUGAAGCGAUUGAAGAAUUUUGCCGAGCUUGAGGUCCAGCAUGAUCAGAUGAUCAAGGAUGCAUCGGAUGCAGAGGCUACCACAGCAGGGACAUCAGAAGAUGCCACAACCCUACGCUCGCUGGAGAAUCGUCUGGACAAGGCCAACCUUAAACUUCACGAGGCAGAGCACAUCAACCGAACCUAUCUGGCCAUCAAAGAACAGAUGAUCAGGGAUAGUUUGACCUUUGGCAAUGACCUCGACGGUGAAGAGAACGAGAUAGAUCAUCUGAAAGAAGAACUGAAAGAACUCCAGGCCAUGAACAAGGAUGCUCAGAUUGCACGAGAUGCUGCUAAGGCUGAACUGAGCAAGCACGAAGAGACGGUUUACAGGGAGAGACGAGAACGAGAAGAAGCGCUAGCUGUACUCAAGAAACAGGCCGAGGAGAAGAAGGCACAUGCUGAACGGGUGGAGAGAAGGCUCCAGAGAGCGUCUAUCCAACAUGAUGAGCUCACGCCAGAACAGAAGCAGUUUGUCACCGGGGAGGAGGAAGAAAAGAAGAUCAGUACCUUUGAGGAAGCAUUCCAGGCAAUGAAGGAAGCUACAGGGGUAUCGGAUCUUGCGGAGGUUGUUAAUAGGUUUGAGAACCAGAACUCCACGUACCAGCAUCUGACGGAGCUGAAGGAAGCGAAUGAGAAGCAGGUGGUGCGUCUCAAGGAAGAGAAAUCUAGACUCAAUACAGACUUUGAGGAGAUGAAGUAUUCCGGAGAAGCCAAAUUAUCAAGUGGGCAGAGAAUGUUGGAGGAGUUCCAGGCCCAUCUUAAGACUGAGCAGGACCGUUGUGACGAGUCCUCUGAAAAGCUUGAUAAGUGCAGCAAGAUCCUAGUCCAGGUCAAGGCUGGUGUAGCCCAUUUAGCUGAUAAGCUUCAGCAUAUCAAAGCAAACAAGGGCCACGUACCCCAGGCCCAGCUGUCCUCGGAGGCUGACGAAUAUGUCCUAGAUCUCCUGGCUACUUGUGAAGAGAAGCUUCUUAAACUCAUGGAGGAACUGGAUGGUUUUGAUGUACAGGGGACGCUCAAACAGAUAGAGGAAGAAGAGUUUCAAGUUGGAAUUGAAGGAUCGUUGCCAGCGCAAAACACUCGUAUCAAGCUACCUACCACACAGAGGGAUACGACUUAUGAUGAUGAGGAAAGUGGUGAUGACGAAGACAUCGUUACCAGGAACGCUCUCAAGAAACAGGCUCAGAUGCUUGUGGAUUCCAAGACCAAGAAGCACAAGGUCCGGGCCCGCAAGAAGAAGGGUGUCAAGUAAGACCAGGUCCAGAUUCCAGAUCCUGGCCCAGCAUGGAUGGAAACCUUGGGGUUAUUCUAUUCCUGUGUAUAAUGUGACAUAAUGCUAUAACAUCUUGAGUAAUCAUUCCUUCUAAGCCUCUUCCAUGAUAGUCCGCAAAGCAGGGAGUUAUUCUUAAGGGCAAUUGCUUGGGUUUGCAUGGACUUGAUCUACAAGCAGUUGGUCUAACUCUCAGGCGGUCUAAUACCACAUGGGCUGAACCCAUUUGGUCUACUUCCCAGGUGGUCUUAUACCACAUGGGCUUAACCCAUUCGGACUGUUAUCAGUUUGGUCUAAUUGCUCUUCGGUAUACAACUGUACUUGGUCUUGUAUCCACUUGAUCUAAUUGUCCUUGUCAGUCUAUCUAUUUUCCACUUAAAAAGAUGAAAAGAUGAAAUGGGAAUUCAUAAGCAUUUCAACUAAUAAAGCCAAAGUGGAAAUUAAACAAAAUGUUAGAGAGGCUAAAUGACAAUUAGACCAAAUGGUUUCAAGAUGGACUAGUUUUUGAUGAACUGGUAUUAGACCACUGUGAGAUGAGACCAAAUGGAAUGUAGACCGUGUAGGAGAUAGACCAAGUGGCAAUUUACCUAUCUGGGACUCUACUCGUAUGGUUUGGCUCUGUCUUUCUAGUUUAAAUGAAAAGUUGCAAUCCUCUCAAAUUAUCAUGUCGUGAGCAGUUCAUAAGCUGAAGUAAGACUCAAGAAAAAAGAAGCUCAGAUGUACAGAAAUGUUGAUUAUGUUUAUGGCAUUGACCCUAAGUCACCUUGAUGUUUGUUUUGAUGUGGUGCAGCAGUCUCUACAUGUUUAAGUGUGUAAGUCAUGGGGAAUAUGUAAAAAGCUAGUCACUAUACACCUAUACCAUGAACAACUAACCUGUACAGUAGUACACAUCAUGCUGACCAAAGUGAAAUGGUAUUAGCAAUUUUUGGGGAGUUUUUCAUAAAAAGCAUGUUUUCAGUGAUUUUCACUGACAACCUCGGUCUGAGCCAAUCAAAUGCGUGGAUUUCAGUAGCCUAUGACACAUAUUCUGUGAAUAUCUGUGAAUAUCCAUGUCGUGGUAUUUGGUGCAUUACAUCUGAACAGACAUUGAGGCUUUGAAAUAAGGUGUGGGGCGGGGGUUAGACUUCUAUUGACUUAAAAAAAGAUCUGUUAUUGAUCUUUAGCUGGAGAACUGCUUUGAAAGCAAAGUUCUUUAGGUGUCAGACUCCUUAUACACAUGAAAUCCUUGGCCCGGAACCACAGCACCUUUGAGGAAAAUUGAUUGAGAUUAAGUAAAUAACACAUGCUUUGAUCUUUGAUCUAUUCUGAUUUGAAAAUUUACUUGACUUUUAGGCGAUUAUUCAACUUACAGAAUAUCAACCUACACAUAUUUAAGUGUGUAUUGUAUUUAUGAUUACUAUGAAAUGUGAAGAUAGACAUUAUAUCGUUGGUAAUGUCCAUGUGAUAUCCGUCCAUACACUAUUCCUGUAAAAGAUAAGAUUGUUUUUACAAUAUAUUUUGUUAUCUAUCUUCUGGGUCUAGUCUUACAAAGAGUUGAGACUGAAGUUAGACUGAGAACUGUAUUUUCACAUUCCCCUUUUAUAAGUCAUCAGAAUAACACAAAUAGUUAUUUAAUUUAUUUCAUAAUGUAUUUGGAAAUGUCACUAACUGAAAUGAAUUUGAUUUUCCCUUGAUGCCCACAAUCAAAGUGUUGAUUAUUAAUUUAAUUACAUCACUAUUAUACUGACGAUAACAAUUUGAUGAUGAAAUUUGUGAUUGGAUAAUUUUCUUUAAAUAUUUCUUUUUUUUUAUAUUUCCUUUUCCAAAGUAAAGAUCAUCAUUGUAAAUUAUAUAUUUACUUGUUUAUAGAAUUGGGUGAACUGCUCAUUUUUUUUAUUUCCAAUUAUGAAACUGAAUUUAUUUUCCCCAUUUUAUUUAUCACAAACAACUGUGGUUUUCCAAUUCCCUCAAUUCUUUAUGUUAAUCUUGUGUCUUAAAAUUUGCUUUGUAAACUACUGAAACAUGUAUAUAAAUAUGUAUUAAUAGAAUGUUUUUUUUUUCUCUGCAGAAAUUAGAAAAACGAUUUUGUACAGCUGUUGAUAUUUCAUAUUGUUACCUGUUACCCCUGUGGAUGAAGAUACUAAAGAGAGAAUUAAAAUAUUGCUUUUAAUAUGA
Molecule: unclassified non-coding RNA, 4014 nt
Filed under: Lytechinus variegatus (green sea urchin)
Lineage: Eukaryota; Metazoa; Echinodermata; Echinoidea; Temnopleuroida; Toxopneustidae
Description: outer dynein arm-docking complex subunit 3-like, transcript variant X1
Source: RNAcentral